ACGCCCGGCGCCUUCUGGGUUCUUGAUUACUGGUGUGAACCAUCACAUUUAGCUGAUACAUAGACACUGGAGUGUACAUACACAUAUAUUUCAAAAUUAAUCUUUUAUUGUUUUUUAAAUAUUUAUUUAUUUAUUGUGGGGUGUGCGCAUGUGCACACCCAUACCUGAUGACCUGAGUUCUGUUCCUAGGUCCCAUGGGGCUGGAAAAGACAACUGACUUCCCCAACUUGUCCUCUAAAACAUCCACAAGUGCGCUGUCGAAUGCACACAAUAAGUAAUACAAAUCUGAAUCAAGUUGUAGAAAUGUUAUUUUAAAAUUCUAUCCAUAGAAUUUUUUGCAUAGAAAGUUCGCAUGGCAACACCGCCUUUUAAUCCCCGCAUUUGGGAGGCAGAGGUAGGUGGAUCUUCAUGAGAGAUCCUGGUGUACAAAGCAAGUUUCGGGUGAACCAGGGCUACACAGUGAGAUACUGUCUCAGUAACUAAAUAAAAAGUAAAUAAAUGUUAAAGUUCCAUGGUUAUAAAAACACACCUAUACUAAUAUUGUUAUUAUGAUGGUGGCACUGUGUUCCUCUUUUUCUUUUUGUUUCAUAUUUUAUUAAACUAAAAAAGGAGUAGGUGUGGUGGUAAAUGCUUGUAAUUCCAGCAUGAACUGGGAGGAUCCUGAGUUUAGUGCCAGCCUGGGAGACGUAGCGAGACUCCCACCCCUAAGUCAAUAAAUAAAUGAACUAAAUAAAUAAAUAAUAAGGCUGGUGCGAUGGCCCAGGGGGUGACGGUGCUGCCUGCCAAGCCAGCUGAGUUCCAUUCCCAGAACCCACAAGCUGAAAAGAGAGAGCCAACUCCUGCAAGUUUUCCUCUGACCACACUUGAGCUCACACACACACACACACACACACACACACACACCCCUUAAAAAAUUAACAAUGAAUAGAUACAACUUUUUUCUUUCUGGAUUCAUUUUAUUCUCUAGGAAGUUUUCCUUGUCCUAGUAAUAAUACGCAUUGCAUUUCUUUAUUUUAUUUUUAACUUAAUUGUCU
RNAcentral lists this long non-coding RNA (1034 nucleotides) under Mus musculus (house mouse). RNAcentral's name for it is "long non-coding RNA chr6:29743578-29744612". Lineage: Eukaryota; Metazoa; Chordata; Mammalia; Rodentia; Muridae. The record is from RNAcentral.